CAAGUCGAACGGAAAUAGAGGAGCUUGCUCCUCUUGAUUAGUGGCGAACGGGUGAGUAACGCGUGGGCAACCUGCCCCUGACUCUGGGAUAACUACUCGAAAGAGUAGCUAAUACCGGAUAUGAAACCUGAAGACAUCUUCGGGUUUGGAAAGUUUUUCGGUCAGGGAUGGGCCCGCGGCCUAUCAGCUAGUUGGUGAGGUAGUGGCUCACCAAGGCGACGACGGGUAGCCGGCCUGAGAGGGCGACCGGCCACACUGGGACUGAGACACGGCCCAGACUCC
This 282-nucleotide ribosomal RNA is filed under the name unidentified marine bacterioplankton. Its description in RNAcentral is "partial 16S ribosomal RNA". It matches the Rfam family "Bacterial small subunit ribosomal RNA", at positions 58 to 339 of the family's 1533-position model. RNAcentral also lists the same sequence under 1 other name. The record is from RNAcentral.